Molecule: long non-coding RNA, 274 nt
Filed under: Lathyrus oleraceus (garden pea)
Lineage: Eukaryota; Viridiplantae; Streptophyta; Magnoliopsida; Fabales; Fabaceae
Description: Pisum sativum (pea) long non-coding RNA (PSAT_LNC026326)
Source: RNAcentral
GAAGGAAAAAGAAAACUUAGCAGAACCAUCAAAAUAUGAAUGAACGUGAAACUCACUUGCGGCUUCUCUAAGGCGUUUCUCGGUGACUUCUAACAUAAGCGAUUCCCAUCGACGCGAUUCUCAUGGAAUAACAACAUUCACUCGGAGAAAGGUCACGCAAUAACAACACUCAUUACAUUUAUAUAGAGUUCACGUAAUAACUACAUCAAAAUCAACUCAACUCUCAAUCGGUUUACGGUUCAGUGACGACAUGUUUCGGUUCAGAAGUUUGUGC